UGUACAGAUGGAACACUGGCUGUGGAUUAUUCUUGCUGCUCUUUUCUUUGAGUGUAAAGGAGAAGACAAAGUGAUCCAGACACAAGGAGAUGUCAUUGCUACUGAAGGAGACACUCUCACACUCAACUGUACUUUUGAGAGCAGUGCUUCAUAUUCGUAUUUGUUCUGGUACAAACAGGAGAUUGAUGGUUCUCCAAAGUACAUGCUACAACGAUACACUGGAGCAAAGGAUAAGCCUUCAACUGGAGAGAGAAUUUAUGCUGAAAUCGUCCAGAACUCAGUUCCUCUGAAGAUCCAGAAGCUUCAUGUGUCUGACUCUGCUGUGUACUACUGUGCUCUGAGGCCCACAGUGACAGGAAACACCAAAACUCUGAACAAAAACCUUUGGAGCAAAGACAACACAAUGGCCAUGUAG
Mugil cephalus (flathead mullet) is the source of this 415-nucleotide non-coding RNA. The record is from the annotation of a RefSeq genome assembly. Lineage: Eukaryota; Metazoa; Chordata; Actinopteri; Mugiliformes; Mugilidae.